CAAUAGGAAUAUCUAGUUGGGUCAACAAAUACAACUAAUGUUUCAUGAAUAUUCAUUUGGACAUCACUAAUCUCAAAUGCUAG
Etheostoma cragini (Arkansas darter) is the source of this 83-nucleotide long non-coding RNA. RefSeq lists it as uncharacterized. Lineage: Eukaryota; Metazoa; Chordata; Actinopteri; Perciformes; Percidae. The transcript has 3 exons. The record is from RefSeq and is a predicted model, not a curated record.